GACGAACGCUGGCGGCGUGCUUAACACAUGCAAGUCGAACGCUGAAGCUUGGUGCUUGCACUGGGUGGAUGAGUGGCGAACGGGUGAGUAAUACGUGAGUAACCUGCCCUUGACUCUGGGAUAAGCCUGGGAAACUGGGUCUAAUACUGGAUACGACAUGUCACCGCAUGGUGGCGUGUGGAAAGGGUUUUACUGGUUUUGGAUGGGCUCACGGCCUAUCAGCUUGUUGGUGGGGUAAUGGCUCACCAAGGCGACGACGGGUAGCCGGCCUGAGAGGGUGACCGGCCACACUGGGACUGAGACACGGCCCAGACUCCUACGGGAGGCAGCAGUGAGGAAUAUUGCACAAUGGGCGAAAGCCUGAUGCAGCGACGCCGCGUGAGGGAUGACGGCCUUCGGGUUGUAAACCUCUUUCAGCACGGAAGAAGCGAAAGUGACGGUACGUGCAGAAGAAGCGCCGGCUAACUACGUG
Molecule: ribosomal RNA, 472 nt
Filed under: uncultured bacterium
Lineage: Bacteria
Description: partial 16S ribosomal RNA
Rfam family: Bacterial small subunit ribosomal RNA
Source: RNAcentral